AUUUCUCUGUAACUUUUGGUAAUGAGAUUUUGCAUUAGCGUUUGAGUUGGCCAACAUUACUAUCCUUGUGUUCAAAUGUGGGGUAGUUGAUUCGACAUUGUUUUCAAAGCUGUUCACAGGAGAUGCUUUUUUGUUAUAAAUUGGUGCAUUGACAAGGUUAAGCAAGCAAUUUAUAACAGCUUCUAGACCAAGUGUGGCAUGCUUGCAAUUCAUGGUAGUCGUUAUUAACAAUGUGGGAUGGGCAUUCCAAAGUUGAGCACAUGGAACAUGAAAUUUAAAGCCACCGUAUGUAAAGAAGUUAUCUAAUCUUGCUAAAUUUUUCAUUCGAAAGUGCCCGAAGAUUCUUAUGGUUUUUGGUCAUUAAUCUUCCACGUCUAAUCUCUUGGAGUCUUGGACGCUUAAAUAUUAGACCACCCUUAAACAGAAAACUCAGAGGUCGAAUCUUCUUAUAAGAUGAUGCAUGCUUAGUUUGAUCUGCAGAAAAGUAGUAGAUAAAUUAUAUGACCCUCACUGCAUUGACAACAUUGGUUAUAAUAACAUUGAUGUGUCUAUCUCUAUAAGAAAAUUAAUAUCUGUGACAACAAUUUGUAGAAAACCUUAAUAGCUUUUCUUUGUUUUAUGAUCUCUGCCAUCUUAAAUGAAAAGUUGUUUUUAAUUCGUAGUGCUUUUCUGCUCCGAGAGCAAUAAAUUGAUCACUUUUCAUUAAAUGGACUAUGAUAGAAUUAUAGGAAUGCCAGUAGCUAUUCAUUGGUCUAAAAAGAAAGAAUGAAUAAUGAAUGUGCCAAAUUAAUUUUAUUUCUCUCAUAUUAACUAGGAUUCAUAUAUUGAUAUAUAAAAAAAGUUUGUGCAUGUAUUAUUAAUAACUAUUGAUUAAGAACUGUUUACUUAUCAAGAGUAGCCCCAAACAGAAAUAUCAAAAUAUUUAUUAAAGUUGUACUGGACCACUUGUGGCUAGCUCCCUUGCUCUCUGUAUUCAUAUAUUGAUAUAUAUUUGCUGAACCAAAGUUUGUAUAAUGUUUAUUGGCUUUAUGCAUAGCUUAUAUGAAUUCUCCAUUAGUUACGCCUAUUGAUAUUAAUACUUGCUGUUGUCCAGGACUCACAGACCUUAUUAUACUUUAAUUUAGAAAAUGAACUGUCAGCCAUAGCAAUAGAGAGAAGAUUAACGACUUCUUGCAGGAUGUUUAUUGGUACAUGCAAGAGGCUGAGAAUCAUGGUUCUGAACUUCUGAUGCUGAGGUAGAAACAACUUUUACGAAUAAUCAGUAAGAGGUACUCUAAAAUAACUUGACUUGCUAUGGAUAAUUGUUGUACCUUUGUAGCUGACAUGAUUUGGCAAUGUGGAAAUGUGUUUCAUUGUACGAGGAAAUGACUGUUCUUUUUUUUUGGCAAUGAGGAAAUGUGUGUUUCAAUUUUCAUAGUAUCUAACAUAAUAAUAUUUGGCAAUGUAGUAUCUUUUAAUGUAUUCUGUUAUGCAUUGUUGGGUGACCCUUUGCACUCUUUUCUGAAAUAUCCAUAUGUCUAUAUGAUUUACUUCUUAAUUUGUUGAUUACAGGCCAUCCAUUUACUAGAUCAAGGUGAAAGAAAUCAAAUUUUCCCCCAAAUUCAAGAUUCAAGAUGUGAAGAGUUAUGAUAUUGUAUUAGUUUAAUUAGUUGUAAUGUAUUAUUAUUUAUUUUAUUUUUUGUAAAUUUAUGUUUUGCAUUGUGAUGUAACAACAAUAUUAUUUAAUUUGCAUUUUUAUUUA
This is a long non-coding RNA of Carya illinoinensis, 1741 nucleotides long. RefSeq lists it as uncharacterized. The transcript is spliced from 2 exons. NCBI's taxonomy places the organism in Eukaryota, Viridiplantae, Streptophyta, Magnoliopsida, Fagales, Juglandaceae. The record is from RefSeq and is a predicted model, not a curated record.